RNAcentral lists this long non-coding RNA (1318 nucleotides) under Callithrix jacchus (white-tufted-ear marmoset). RNAcentral's name for it is "lncRNA (ENSCJAG00000082935.1)". The record is from RNAcentral. Lineage: Eukaryota; Metazoa; Chordata; Mammalia; Primates; Cebidae.
GGAAGGAGAGGAUCAGGAAAAAUAACUAGUGGGUACUUGGUUUCGUUCCUGGGCAAUGAAAUAAUCUGUAUAACAAACCCCCGUGACACAAGUUUACCUGUGUAACAAACCUGCACAUGCUCCCCCGAACCUAAGAUAAAAGUUAAAAAAAGAAAGCUUCAGUGAAAGCGGUGACAGCAAGGCUCAUGGGUGGGAAAUACGUUUAUUUAAAGGGUCUCAGGUCCUGCCGGACCUUAACUGAGAGAGAAACCUCGAGAGUGGUCACCUCCCAGGGAGGAAGGUUUGGAGCCUUUUGGGGUUGGGGGCAGAUCUCCACUGCCUCCCGGACCUGCAGCUUCUCUAGAGAAGGAGGACAGGGGAUAUCAUGGACAGGGAGGGCCCUGUCCCAGCAAGGCCUGGCAAGGGGCUUGUCGGAGGAGAUUGCAGGGCUCUGGGAACUGGGAAGGUGCUGAGCACCAGAAGAGAGGAGGAGAGCUCUCAUGAAGAAUGACUGGAAAGGGAGUCAGGACAGGCCAAGACCCCGAAGUCAUCACCUGCCCCCACAGCCGGAACUGCAGCCCCCGCAGCUGGAGCCACAGCAGCCCAUGGUUCUGGUGGGUUACAGUGGAGCAGGUAGAGCAGCAGGUGAGAGGGAGGAGCCGGUGUGCAGCCCCCUGAGCCUGGACCCUUUUUAUCCCUGCCCAGGGUCAGGAGUGAUGCUGGACACACAGUCAUUUCCUGGUUCCUGUUUGUGCCACUUCCUUAGGGAAACUGUUUGCUUAAUCUUAAAAUAAGCUCAGCAGUGUCGUAGGUUUGCACUUUUUCUUUAGUUUGUGAUUUUCCUCACAUGUCCUCUGAAAAAUGGCAAGGCCCCUGUCCUUCUAUGUCAGUGAGGGUAACGGACACGGGGACUUUGCUUGGCCGCCGCGCUCGUCUUGGCUACCGGCAUUCAUUUCCCGAGGCUGCUGUUAAAAAAUGGCCACAAAGUUGGACCUUAAAAUGCAGACAUUGGUGCCUCACAGUUCAGGCCGACAGAAGUUCAAGAUCAAGUUCUUUGCUGGCCACACGCUCUGAAGGGACACCAGACACUGGAUCAGGACCCACCCUCAUCCAGGACGACCUCAUCUUAAGUAACCUGAUGACAUCUGCAAAGACUCUGUUUCCAAAUAAGGUCACAUUCAGAGUUUCCCGCUGGAGGAGAGGACUGAGGGGGUCCUAUUCAACCCACUCCUAUGCUUAUGCUGAUGCCAAUUGAUGCUGCCUUGACUCCGCAAAUCCCAGGGAACGUUUACAGAAGGCACAGAGAAACCAUGCAUGGAGACACCCUAGGGCAGGUGAG